AGAGUUUGAUCAUGGCUCAGAUUGAACGCUGGCGGCAGGCUUAACACAUGCAAGUCGAGCGGAAACGAAAGUAGCUUGCUACUAGGCGUCGAGCGGCGGACGGGUGAGUAAUGCUUAGGAAUCUACCGAGUAGUGGGGGAUAGCCAUUGGAAACGAUGAUUAAUACCGCAUAUAUCCUACGGGGGAAAGCAGGGGACCUUCGGGCCUUGCGCUAUUCGAUGAGCCUGAGUGAGAUUAGCUAGUUGGUGGGGUAAAGGCCUACCAAGGCGACGAUCUCUAGCUGGUCUGAGAGGAUGAUCAGUCACACUGGAACUGAGACACGGUCCAGACUCCUACGGGAGGCAGCAGUGGGGAAUAUUGCACAAUGGACGAAAGUCUGAUGCAGCAACGCCGCGUGGAGGAUGACACUUUUCGGAGCGUAAACUCCUUUUAUAUAGGAAGAUAAUGACGGUACUAUAUGAAUAAGCACCGGCUAACUCCGUGCCAGCAGCCGCGGUAAUACGGAGGGUGCAAGCGUUACUCGGAAUCACUGGGCGUAAAGAGCGUGUAGGCGGAUAGAUAAGUUCGAAGUGAAAUCCAAUGGCUCAACCAUUGAACUGCUUUGAAAACUGUUUAUCUAGAAUAUGGGAGAGGUAGAUGGAAUUUCUGGUGUAGGGGUAAAAUCCGUAGAGAUCAGAAGGAAUACCGAUUGCGAAGGCGAUCUACUGGAACAUUAUUGACGCUGAGACGCGAAAGCGUGGGGAGCAAACAGGAUUAGAUACCCUGGUAGUCCACGCCCUAAACGAUGCACACUAGUUGUUGCUAUGCUAGACAUAGCAGUAAUGCAGUUAACACAUUAAGUGUGCCGCCUGGGGAGUACGGUCGCAAGAUUAAAACUCAAAGGAAUAGACGGGGACCCGCACAAGCGGUGGAGCAUGUGGUUUAAUUCGACGAUACGCGAAGAACCUUACCUGGACUUGACAUAGUAAGAAGAUUUAAGAGAUUAGAUUGUGUCUGCUUGCAGAAACUUAUAUACAGGUGCUGCACGGCUGUCGUCAGCUCGUGUCGUGAGAUGUUGGGUUAAGUCCCGCAACGAGCGCAACCCUCGUCCUUAGUUGCUAACAGUUCGGCUGAGAACUCUAAGGAGACUGCCUGGGUAACCAGGAGGAAGGUGAGGACGACGUCAAGUCAUCAUGGCCCUUACGUCCAGGGCUACACACGUGCUACAAUGGAGUAUACAAAGAGCAGCAAUACCGUGAGGUGGAGCAAAUCUCAAAAAUACUUCCCAGUUCGGAUAGCACUCUGCAACUCGAGUGCUUGAAGUUGGAAUCGCUAGUAAUCGUAGAUCAGCAAUGCUACGGUGAAUACGUUCCCGGGUCUUGUACUCACCGCCCGUCACACCAUGGGAA
This 1388-nucleotide ribosomal RNA is filed under the name uncultured Campylobacterota bacterium. RNAcentral describes it as "bacterial SSU rRNA". It matches the Rfam family "Bacterial small subunit ribosomal RNA". The record is from RNAcentral. Lineage: Bacteria; Pseudomonadati; Campylobacterota.